This 497-nucleotide ribosomal RNA is filed under the name uncultured bacterium. Its description in RNAcentral is "partial 16S ribosomal RNA". It matches the Rfam family "Bacterial small subunit ribosomal RNA", at positions 28 to 507 of the family's 1533-position model. The record is from RNAcentral.
GAUGAACGCUGGCGGCGUGCCUAAUACAUGCCAGUCGAGCGAACAGACGAGGAGCUUGCUCCUCUGACGUUAGCGGCGGACGGGUGAGUAACACGUGGAUAACCUACCUAUAAGACUGGGAUAACUUCGGGAAACCGGAGCUAAUACCGGAUAAUAUAUUGAACCGCAUGGUUCAAUAGUGAAAGACGGUUUUGCUGUCACUUAUAGAUGGAUCCGCGCCGCAUUAGCUAGUUGGUAAGGUAACGGCUUACCAAGGCAACGAUGCGUAGCCGACCUGAGAGGGUGAUCGGCCACACUGGAACUGAGACACGGUCCAGACUCCUACGGGAGGCAGCAGUAGGGAAUCUUCCGCAAUGGGCGAAAGCCUGACGGAGCAACGCCGCGUGAGCGAUGAAGGUCUUCGGAUCGUAAAACUCUGUUAUUAGGGAAGAACAAAUGUGUAAGUAACUAUGCUCGUCUUGACGGUACCUAAUCAGAAAGCCACGGCUAACUACGUG